UACGUAGGGUGCGAGCGUUAAUCGGAAUUACUGGGCGUAAAGGGCGCGUAGGCGGUCUUGUAAGUCAGCUGUGAAAGCCCGGGGCUCAACCCCGGAGGGUCGGCUGAUACUGCAGGACUGGAGUACGGAAGAGGUAGCUGGAAUUCCCGGUGUAGCGGUGAAAUGCGUAGAUAUCAGGAGGAACACCGAUGGCGAAGGCAGGUCUCUGGGCAUUAACUGACGCUGAGGAGCGAAAGCAUGGGGAGCGAACAGG
This 253-nucleotide ribosomal RNA is filed under the name uncultured bacterium. RNAcentral describes it as "partial 16S ribosomal RNA". It matches the Rfam family "Bacterial small subunit ribosomal RNA", at positions 524 to 776 of the family's 1533-position model. The record is from RNAcentral.